RNAcentral lists this ribosomal RNA (424 nucleotides) under Verrucomicrobiota bacterium. Its description in RNAcentral is "Verrucomicrobia bacterium partial 16S ribosomal RNA". It matches the Rfam family "Bacterial small subunit ribosomal RNA", at positions 355 to 776 of the family's 1533-position model. The record is from RNAcentral. Lineage: Bacteria; Pseudomonadati; Verrucomicrobiota.
UGAGGAAUAUUGGUCAAUGGGCGAGAGCCUGAACCAGCCAAGUAGCGUGCAGGAUGACGGCCCUAUGGGUUGUAAACUGCUUUUAUGUGGGGAUAAAGUGCGUGACGUGUCAUGCAUUGCAGGUACCAGAUGAAUAAGGACCGGCUAAUUCCGUGCCAGCAGCCGCGGUAAUACGGAAGGUCCGGGCGUUAUCCGGAGUUAUUGGGUUUAAAGGGAGCGUAGGCUGUCUAUUAAGCGUGUUGUGAAAUUUACCGGCUCAACCGGUGGCUUGCAGCGCGAACUGGUCGACUUGAGUAUGCAGGAAGUAGGCGGAAUUCAUGGUGUAGCGGUGAAAUGCUUAGAUAUCAUGACGAACUCCGAUUGCGCAGGCAGCUUACUGUAGCAUAACUGACGCUGAUGCUCGAAAGUGCGGGUAUCAAACAGG